This 529-nucleotide long non-coding RNA is filed under the name Citrus sinensis (sweet orange). RNAcentral's name for it is "long non-coding RNA (CSIN_LNC000312)". Lineage: Eukaryota; Viridiplantae; Streptophyta; Magnoliopsida; Sapindales; Rutaceae. The record is from RNAcentral.
GGAAGAGUAAAAGAAAAGUACACAAAAGGCAGAAAAGGCAAAGACCAAUUCACAGUUCCAACUGUUUUUUUUUUCAUUUUUGCAGCAAUUUAAUUAAUGAAGAAAAACAAUGAUUAGUUAUCAUUUAGAUGAAAUUUCCAGAACAACCAGUACUGUCUAUUUUUGCAGAACAAUCAGUAAUGAUUAGUUAUCAUUUUUCCAGAAAACAAAUACCAAUCUUCACACGGCAGGUGACAGUGGCAGCAGCAGCAGAAGACAGCGGCUGCAGCAGGUGGUAGCGGCGGCGGAGACUCGGCGACGAGCAGCAGCGGCAAAUCAGAUUCGUGAUUCCGUGAAGGAUGAGCAGCGGUGAGUCGGUGACGACUGACGAGCAGUGGCGACGACUAGAUUGCAGCGGUGGCGACGAGCAGCGACGACAAGAUUGCUGCAGCUGAAGCCUGAAGGUCACGAUUCACGAGUUCGGUUUUGUUCGGUUUUUGGAAGAACAGAAGAACUGAAGAAGUGUUAGAUACUUAAAUUUAGACUCUAG